RNAcentral lists this ribosomal RNA (254 nucleotides) under uncultured bacterium. RNAcentral describes it as "partial 16S ribosomal RNA". It matches the Rfam family "Bacterial small subunit ribosomal RNA", at positions 524 to 776 of the family's 1533-position model. The record is from RNAcentral.
UACGUAGGGUGCAAGCGUUGUCCGGAAUUAUUGGGCGUAAAGGGCUCGUAGGCGGCCAACUAAGUCGGACGUGAAAUCCCCAGGCUCAACCUGGGAACUGCGUCCGAUACUGGAUGGCUUGAAUUCGGGAGAGGGAUGCAGAAUUCCAGGUGUAGCGGUGAAAUGCGUAGAUAUCUGGAGGAAUACCGGUGGCGAAGGCGGCAUCCUGGACCGACAUUGACGCUGAUGAGCGAAAGCGUGGGGGAGCGAACAGG